UACGAAGGGAGCUAGCGUUGUUCGGAAUCACUGGGCGUAAAGCGCACGUAGGCGGAUGUGUCAGUCAGGGGUGAAAUCCCGGAGCUCAACUUCGGAACUGCCCUUGAUACAGCACGUCUUGAGUCCGGAAGAGGUGGGUGGAAUUCCUAGUGUAGAGGUGAAAUUCGUAGAUAUUAGGAAGAACACCGGUGGCGAAGGCGGCGACCUGGUCUGAUACUGACGCUGAGGCGCGACAGCGUGGGGAGCAAACAGG
Molecule: ribosomal RNA, 253 nt
Filed under: uncultured bacterium
Lineage: Bacteria
Description: partial 16S ribosomal RNA
Rfam family: Bacterial small subunit ribosomal RNA
Source: RNAcentral